UUUUAAGUCUAAUCUGCCCAAUGAAUGAUUAAAUGGCUGCAGUAUUUUAACUGUACAAAGGUAGCAUAAUAAUUAGUUUCUUAAUUAGGAACUGGAAUGAAUGAUUGGACGAAACAGUGACUGUCUUAGUUUAAAUUUUAGAAUUUUAUUUUUAAGUUAAAAAGCUUAAAUUUUUUUAAAAGACGAGAAGACCCUAUAGAAUUUUAUACUAUUUGAAUAUUUUAUUAUUAGGAUUUUAAUAUAGAAUUUUUUAAUUAGUAUUUAGUUGGGGUGAUUGAAAAAUUUAAUAAACUUUUUUUUAUUAUUAACAUUAAUAUAUGAUUAUAUGAUCCAGUUUUUCUGAUUAUAAGAUUAAAUUACCUUAGGGAUAACAGCGUAAUUUUUUUAGAGAGUUCUAAUCGAUAAAAGAGAUUGCGACCUCGAUGUUGGAUUAAAGUUUAUUUUUAAUGUAGGAGUUAAAAUAUUAGGUCUGUUCGACCUUUAAAACUUUACAUGAUCUGAGUUUAAACCGGUGUGAGCCAGGUUGGAUUCUAUCUUUAAUUAAAUUAAAUAUUUUAGUACGAAAGGACCAAGUGUUUAUUAUAAUAAUUUUAUUAGAA
RNAcentral lists this ribosomal RNA (599 nucleotides) under Troglocharinus ferreri pallaresi. RNAcentral's name for it is "16S ribosomal RNA". It matches the Rfam family "Bacterial large subunit ribosomal RNA", at positions 1895 to 2722 of the family's 2925-position model. The record is from RNAcentral. Lineage: Eukaryota; Metazoa; Arthropoda; Insecta; Coleoptera; Leiodidae.